This 305-nucleotide ribosomal RNA is filed under the name uncultured bacterium. RNAcentral's name for it is "bacterial SSU rRNA". It matches the Rfam family "Bacterial small subunit ribosomal RNA", at positions 338 to 661 of the family's 1533-position model. The record is from RNAcentral.
CCUAGGGACGCAGCAGUGGGGGAUAUUGGACAAUGGGGGGAACCCUGAUCCAGCGACGCCGCGUGAGCGAAGAAGUAUUUCGGUAUGUAAAGCUCUAUCAGCAGGGAAGAAAAUGACGGUACCUGACUAAGAAGCCCCGGCUAACUACGUGCCAGCAGCCGCGGUAAUACGUAGGGGGCAAGCGUUAUCCGGAUUUACUGGGUGUAAAGGGAGCGUAGACGGAGGAGCAAGUCUGAUGUGAAAAUCCGGGGCCCAACCCCGGAACUGCAUUGGAAACUGUUUAUCUAGAGUGUCGGAGAGGCAAG